RNAcentral lists this ribosomal RNA (644 nucleotides) under Niallia circulans. RNAcentral's name for it is "bacterial SSU rRNA". It matches the Rfam family "Bacterial small subunit ribosomal RNA", at positions 193 to 823 of the family's 1533-position model. Lineage: Bacteria; Bacillati; Bacillota; Bacilli; Caryophanales; Bacillaceae. The record is from RNAcentral.
UUCAGACAUAAAAGGUGGCUUCGGCUACCACUUACAGAUGGACCCGCGGCGCAUUAGCUAGUUGGUGAGGUAACGGCUCACCAAGGCAACGAUGCGUAGCCGACCUGAGAGGGUGAUCGGCCACACUGGGACUGAGACACGGCCCAGACUCCUACGGGAGGCAGCAGUAGGGAAUCUUCCGCAAUGGACGAAAGUCUGACGGAGCAACGCCGCGUGAGUGAUGAAGGUUUUCGGAUCGUAAAGCUCUGUUGUUAGGGAAGAACAAGUGCCGUUCAAAUAGGGCGGCACCUUGACGGUACCUAACCAGAAAGCCACGGCUAACUACGUGCCAGCAGCCGCGGUAAUACGUAGGUGGCAAGCGUUGUCCGGAAUUAUUGGGCGUAAAGGGCUCGCAGGCGGUUUCUUAAGUCUGAUGUGAAAGCCCCCGGCUCAACCGGGGAGGGUCAUUGGAAACUGGGGAACUUGAGUGCAGAAGAGGAGAGUGGAAUUCCACGUGUAGCGGUGAAAUGCGUAGAGAUGUGGAGGAACACCAGUGGCGAAGGCGACUCUCUGGUCUGUAACUGACGCUGAGGAGCGAAAGCGUGGGGAGCGAACAGGAUUAGAUACCCUGGUAGUCCACGCCGUAAACGAUGAGUGCUAAGUGU